Molecule: small nucleolar RNA, 106 nt
Organism: Malania oleifera
Lineage: Eukaryota; Viridiplantae; Streptophyta; Magnoliopsida; Santalales; Ximeniaceae
Source: RefSeq, a predicted model, not a curated record
AAUUCGUGAUGUGGACAUAUGUUCAUGAUGUCCUUGAAUCUCUCCCAGCAAGCCUAGAAUGUCUCGUCACCUUUUUGCAUGAACUAACUGAUAUACUCCUGUAGGU